GAAAAGUUAGUUAACUUAUAACAUAAUUUUGUCAAUUUUAAAUUACUAUUUUUCAUUAGUACUUUUCU
This 68-nucleotide transfer RNA is filed under the name Grimpoteuthis sp. RNAcentral's name for it is "tRNA-Asp". The record is from RNAcentral. Lineage: Eukaryota; Metazoa; Mollusca; Cephalopoda; Octopoda; Grimpoteuthidae.